RNAcentral lists this ribosomal RNA (325 nucleotides) under uncultured Actinomycetes bacterium. Its description in RNAcentral is "bacterial SSU rRNA". It matches the Rfam family "Bacterial small subunit ribosomal RNA", at positions 28 to 351 of the family's 1533-position model. Lineage: Bacteria; Bacillati; Actinomycetota; Actinomycetes. The record is from RNAcentral.
GACGAACGCUGGCGGCGUGCUUAACACAUGCAAGUCGAACGAUGAAGCCGGAGCUUGCUCUGGUGAAUUAGUGGCGAACGGGUGAGUAACACGUGAGUAACCUGCCCUUGACUCUGGGAUAACUGCUAGAAAUGGUAGCUAAUACCGGAUACGACCCUCGGAGGCAUCUCCAGGGGGUGGAAAGAAUUUCGGUCAAGGAUGGACUCGCGGCCUAUCAGCUAGUUGGUGAGGUAAAGGCUCACCAAGGCGACGACGGGUAGCCGGCCUGAGAGGGUGACCGGCCACACUGGGACUGAGACACGGCCCAGACUCCUACGGGAGGCUG